RNAcentral lists this transfer RNA (73 nucleotides) under Acropora cervicornis. RNAcentral's name for it is "tRNA-OTHER". It matches the Rfam family "tRNA". Rfam says of the family: Transfer RNA (tRNA) molecules are approximately 80 nucleotides in length. The record is from RNAcentral. Lineage: Eukaryota; Metazoa; Cnidaria; Anthozoa; Scleractinia; Acroporidae.
GGCUUCAUAGCUCAGUUGGUAGAACAUCGCAACUGUAUCGCAGAGGUCACGGGUUCGACUCCCGUUGAAGCCC